RNAcentral lists this ribosomal RNA (484 nucleotides) under uncultured bacterium. RNAcentral describes it as "partial 16S ribosomal RNA". It matches the Rfam family "Bacterial small subunit ribosomal RNA", at positions 29 to 507 of the family's 1533-position model. The record is from RNAcentral.
AUUGAACGCUGGCGGCAUGCUUUACACAUGCAAGUCGAACGGCAGCGCGGGCUUCGGCCUGGCGGCGAGUGGCGAACGGGUGAGUAAUACAUCGGAACGUGCCCAGUAGUGGGGGAUAGCUCGGCGAAAGCCGGAUUAAUACCGCAUACGACCUGAGGGUGAAAGCGGGGGAUCUUCGGACCUCGCGCUAUUGGAGCGGCCGAUGGCAGAUUAGCUAGUUGGUGGGGUAAAGGCCUACCAAGGCGACGAUCUGUAGCUGGUCUGAGAGGACGACCAGCCACACUGGGACUGAGACACGGCCCAGACUCCUACGGGAGGCAGCAGUGGGGAAUUUUGGACAAUGGGCGAAAGUCUGAUCCAGCAAUGCCGCGUGUGUGAUGAAGGCCUUCGGGUUGUAAAGCACUUUUGGCGGGGACGAAAAGGACUGUGCCAAUACCACGGUUCGAUGACGGUACCCGCAGAAUAAGCACCGGCUAACUACGUG